CAGCUCGCCCCCUAGCUACAUCCGUCACCUGACACGGCCCUACCAGGAACAGCCGCGCUCCCGCGGAUUCUGAUUUGGAAAACAAGCGAAAUUAAACUAAACCGCUGCACGCCUCUGACGCGACAUCUGGACACGGCGCGGCGCUGGCGCUGCCGGAGCUGUCGACCCGGCCUGGCGCCGGACUAGGACUAUUUGCCACGACAUUUCAAAGGAUUCCAAGAGAGAAUAUUGGUGUCCAUGCUGUGAUGAUUCCUCAGCUCCUCUCAUCUGAUCUCCGUCCUGGCCCCCAUGACUUUCUUUGUGGUAGUUAGGGUGUGGUAUGUGCCACUGAGGCCCACACCUAUUGCUGCAAUUUAUAGCACUGAUCUGUCAUCAAUACCACUUGCUGUCUUGGAUGUGAAGAUGAUUUUUCCUGCAGGGAUUCCCUCUACAAAAUUAAAAACACUGGGCAUGUGGAAAUAAUAUUCAUGCUUUAAAUUGUCUUUUCUCUUCACUACACCAGGGGUCCCCAACCCCUAGGCCACAGACUGUGGCCCUAGUGUAGUGAAUAGAAAAGACAAUUUAAAGCGUGAAUAUUAUUUCCUCAUGCCCAGUGUUUUUAAUUUUGUACUGGUCUGUGGCUUGUUAGAAACCAGGCUGCACAGCAGAAGGUGGGCAGCAGGUGAGCAAGCAUUACUGCUUGAGUUCCGCCUCCUGUCAGAUCAGCAGUGGCAUUAGAUUCUCAUAGGAGCACAAACCCUAUUGUGAACUGCACACGCAAGGGAUCUAGGUUGUGCGCCCUUUAUGAGAAUCUAACUAAUGGCUGAUGAUCUGACGUGGAACAGUUUCAACCCAGAGCACCCCCCACCCACCUGCAGAAGAAUUGACUUUUACGAAACCAGUCCCUGGUGCCAAAAAGGUUGGGGACCACCGCUGCACUACACUACCUAAAAGAUUUUCACUUUCACAGUGUUGCUUGCUUCUGUUUUACAUGCACAAGUAGCUAAAGCUAGCCUUCUGGUAAAUGGAGGGGCAGAGCAGAUGGUGGGGGAGGAGUACAUACGGACGAAUUUGAAUCACAAUUUCCUCACUAUAUGCCAGCAAAAUUUAAUAAUAGCACCUAAACAUACACAUGCAUAUGUAAAUGAGUCACACUAUAAAAACUUUUAACAAGUACUGGCAAGUCAGAUGGCAGACUUACCCUGAAACCUGCCACUCCAAUAAAAACCUCAUAAUUAAAAACAAGGCUGUCUAUAAAGCAUAACAUAUAAUAACAAUUAUUUGCAACUGGUACAAGGCUAGAUUAGAAAGUUGAAAGUUAUCUUUCUCAGGUAAAAAUGCUUUUCCUAUACAGUAUGCAGCCAGCAGAUUAUCAUCCAUAGUUUGAGUAGUGAGAUGCCACUUGCUCCAACAAUUAACACCUGCUGAUGUUGGUCCAAGAAGAGACUGAGGUGAUGCAGUUUCACCUGUUUUGUAAGAAUAACGCUGGUGUUUGCCAUCUAUUGACAGAGUGCCUACUACGUGCCAGAUGCUUUGUUGGCACUGAAUGUGCUAUCUCAUUCCAGUUUCUUUAUACUCAAUGAAAAACCAACUACAUUUAUAUUGCAUUGAGGCUUAAAGUGGUUUACUGACUUGCUUAAGAUUAUACAAGUAGUAGGUGGCUACAGCAGGGUUUGAACCCAAGUAUGCUUGAUUCCCCAAACCAUGCUUUUUAAAAAAUCAAAGGUGUAACUUCGAUAAAAGACAUGAAGUUAAUGAAUAUAUGAAAGAUGGUGAAUAGAUACAGAUACAAUGUGGCCUUAGGCCAGAUCAUGUUGAACAUGUGGUGGGAUAGAUAAGAGAAGGUUCUUCUUUGUUGUUACCUGGUUCUCAAUUGGUUAUUACUUUAUGUGCUUUCCAUAUUAAAAUUCUAUUAUUCUGGUCUAUAAAUUCACCCACCCAGACUUGCCUAAACUAAUUAAACCCUGAAGUUUGGCAUGUCUCUUUUUUGGGGUGCCUCUAUGAUAGGUGGUAGAAAUGAAAAUGGAAUUAAAAGUUUUGUGAAGCUAUAGCACUACUUUUUCAUUGUGUUCCCCCCUGACUUUCUGCCUUAGGUGUUUACUUUGGUGAGAUAUCCUGGGAGAAAUUGAGGUGAAAAGAAGCCCGAGUUAGGAUUAGGGAAGAGAUGAAGUAGUCAAUAAAAUUCAAAUUCUUGUAUUCUGAAACGCAACUAUUCUUUCUCCAACUUGGUUUUGGACAGAAUGUCUUAGUGUAGCUGUUAACAAAGAAAUUGAUGACAAUUAACUCCCAUUUCUCAGAAUUUCAUCAUUCUUUGAAAGUGUUUAUCAUACUCAAUCUUCUAAAAAUCCUUAAGGCAUACUACAGUGUAGAGGUUGGCAAACUUUUUCUAUAGAGGUCCUGAUAGUAGCUUGUUUCGCUUUUGAGGGCCAUCGAGUUUCUGUCACAACUACUCAUCUCUGCUGUUGUAAUAAAGACUCACCCAUAGACAAUACAUGAAUGAAGGAGUAUCUAUGUUCCAAUAAGACUUUUAAAAAUAAAAUUAGGCAGCAAGACUGAUUUGACAUAAGGGUCAUAAUUUGCUAACCUGUGGUAUAGUGAAAGGAGUUCAACUAGAGUUUGAUUAUGGCUGUGCCAUUCUAGUUGGGUAGUUUUAGGAAAGUUAUUUAAUUUAGAUUUGAUGUAGUUUUCUCAUAUGUAAAAUGGGGAUAAUAAAACCUGCUUCACAAGACUACUAUGAGGAGUAAGCUAUGUAGCUAAAUAUAGCAAAAUAUCUGGCAUCUAAUAGAUGCCUAAUAAAUGGUGACUAUAAUGAUUCUUAUCAUUACUGUAUUAUUUUAAACAUUUAUCUUUUUUUUUUAGGUUGUUGUCUAACUAAGGUAUUUAGAGAAAAUAAGUGCUGCUGAGGGCAGCUGGAACUGUUUUGCUGGUUCAUCACUGAAAUUCUAGUUCUUGUUGGUGCUUAUUUCAUAAUUAUGAAACUAAUUCUUUUGAAAAGAACUUGAAGUAGAGCAACAAGAACUAAGAUAGAACUAAUACCAUUCUCUCUCAGUUCUUAUUGCUUUACUUCAAGUUCUUUUGAAAAGAAUUACAUAGAUAUGGGUGCAUGUGUUUGUUUAUUUUCCUUGUUGGGUAAUCGUGAAUAUGUUGAUUGGCGUCAAACAUGGGUCUCACCUAUACCCAUGGCAGUAAGCUUCUAUUGAUUUGAAUUCAGACUAGCCCUGGUGGCCCUGUGAGUGGGAAAGUCUAGGUGUGCCUAGCUUGGUCUGUGGUUCCACGAGGGGUUGGAUGCAUCUGUUCUACUUGUGGAAUGUUGGCACCAAUAUAUUGGCUGCUUCUCCGAGUAUUUGCCUUUGUCUUCUUUGUGAAAGGUCACUGGCUGGUUUGAGCUAUUGGGCUGUUUAUGCCACAUCCUGUGCAUGCCACACUGGCUUUCUUUCUGUGGUGUUUCCAGAGAUAAGUUUGCCUGAUAGAAGUCAGACUCUGUGGCUUUUUAUCAUUAUAGAUUUUUCUAGAAGGAGAAGAGGCCAUGAUCACAUCUGAGGAUCCUGAGUCAUUGUAGACAUGUACUGAAUUAAAGAGAAUUUUUUGACUAAAGGAGAAUUGCAUCAAUCACGGUGAAGGAGAUGCCACAGGACAGGGCCUGAGGUGUUGGCUUAGCCACAGAUGUAAGGGCUACAGUUAACAGACAACUUUCAGUUUCCACUAUUGGAAGGGAUGAUCAGUCCUUCCCUCCUCUAUUUUCUUGAGCCCCGUUUUUCACCUUUCUUUUUCUCUCUCCUUUCUUAUCAUGAAGAAUAAAGACAAAUGAGAACAGAUCUACCUUAGGCUGAUACAGGGCAGGGAAUCCAUUUAAUAAUAAAACGUGGGUCAAAAUUCACUUUUCUCCUUUUGAAUUGAAAUUAUAUUGUGCAUGGGCUAAUUAGAUUGAAUGCUGUAAACAUGAAGAUAAUGCUUGCAAAGUAGCUACAGAGAAAGAGAAAAAGCCUAAAACAACCAGUAGUGCUUAGGACCAAUAGUAUAAGUCUUUACACACUACAUUUGAAUAAUACUGUAAGACACAAUUCUUUGAUAGGUUAAAUAGCAAAUCUAGGCCCCCCAAAAUUAUUUAAAAAAUUGUCAUUUUAAUUCUAGAGGUAUAACAACAGUGUGUAAGUUGCAUCAAAUAACAAAGUUAGUCUACAGCCUAAAUUGUUUCGUCCUGCUUUUUUCACUUCUAUGCAUAUUUUUAUACUUCCAUGCUAGAGCUACCUCAUUCUUUUAAAAUUGUGAGAUAUUCUAUAAUUUAUUUGUAUUCCCCUAUUAAUAUAUUUUUAGCUUAUUAGUUUACUUAAAAAGAUUUAUGUUUGCCUUCUAAUGUCAAAGUUAGGAGUCAUCUGUCCAUUUAACAGGUGGUGUUUUCUUGUGUAACUCCUCUGCCUUCAUGCAAACCUUUGAGAACAAUCUCUUGAAACAAGGCUAAAAUGCCUUUGGAGAGGUAUUAUAGAUGAUCAUAUCUACUUUGUGCCUCUUUCCAUUACUUAGCUGCAUUAGAGGCCCAGCUGUGUAGGUGUAACUCAAAAUCCACCAAAACUAAUACUGUGGUUAGAUUCUGGUCAAACAAGUUGCCAUUAAUCCAGAUGUAGAAUGGGAUUGAAAGGUGGCUCUUCCACACCCUGACAUCAAUGUACCAGUUUGGCUCUGUGCAUUCUUUCUCCCCUUCUCCCUUUACCACCCUCAUAUAAUUGUUUGUGUACAUGUCUGGUUUCGUCACUACGCUGAUGGCAAGGAUCAUGCAUGCCUUAUUCAUAUUUGUGUUAUUCAAGGAUUCUACUCUGGGUUCUAUUAUGGGGCCUGGCCUAAAGUGGUUGUUCAAGAAAUGUGUGUUAGAGAAAUCAUACAUAAACUAGCAAUUCUCAUUUGGAUUCCUGUAUCUGAACAACUAACUUUCAGCUUCUUCAGUGGGAUAAAGAAGAAAAAUGGGGUUUAAAGUACAUACUAUUCAGUAUUAAUGUAGAAUUUAACAGCUGCCAUCCAAGUGCAGAAUCCUCUGUAGUUUCCCAGUGUUAACCUCACUUCUAUCUCUAGCCAUGUCUCAGUGCUGGGUGACUCUCUCCUGGCAUGUUCUGGCAAGACUCUACCUGGUUUGCGUAAUCUACAUCGGCUUCUAGUUUCCACAAGAAUUGUUUAUAUGCAUUUAAUUUUAGCUCUUGGGCUAUAACAUGUCAUUGUUCUUUUUACUUAUCUCCUCUUACUUCUGGAAACAGGGCAGGCAUCUUCAAUACUUGCUGUUCCUGUUUGGUGUGCUCUUAGAUUAAUUUUAACUUUCCUCUUCAGCUUUCAUGACACUUCAAGACAUUUUCCAGUCAUAUUUCCUGUAUAAGAAAAUACAGACUAUGUCACCACAAAGGGUAGUGGAGAUUGGGGGGCAUAAUUUAAUUCAUUCAGGGAACUCAUAUUUUGGUGUGAAUGGAAAUUAAAGCAAGGUAUUUGGAUUAAUUUACCUCAUUUGGUUCUAUAUUCCAUUUAGAGGAUAACACAUUAAGCUUUUAUUCAAUUUUAUCUGUUAUGGUCACAGUGAAUCUGGAAAAAAAUAUAUAUGGGGCUUAGUUUUCAUAUUUAGGGGAAAAUGAAUAUCCUAGAGAAUAAUAAUAAAAGUUAGGGAAAAUAAUGUUUUCCUAAGAGUAGGCAAUGAAAAUCUGAAGGUACUCAAAGCAGUCUUGCACAAGUGCUUUGAAAAGCCUCUUGCACAAUUUUAUUUCUUUAUAGUACUUACACAAUCAUAUUUCAUAAUGACUUGCUAUAAACAAUGUUCUUGACAAGAAGCUUAAAGAUACAAAACUGAAGGAAGCACUUUUGGGAGAAAAUACUUUUAUAUUUGCUUACUUCUACACUACAACAGACAUAAAAUUAUGGAUUUUUUUUUCAGUGCAAUUUUCAUAUGUCAGUUCUAGGAGACAGGAAAUGUGAAACACUGUAGGAGGUAUGAGUUUGCCACCUAGAGGAGAGAGGUGAAAUUCAACUUUUCUCCAAUUUCUUUAGUAUAAUUCAUUAAUUUAUUUAAUUAUUUACUCGUUUAAUUAUUCAAAAAUAAUUAUCUACCAAGCUUAACUAUUUUGCCAGCGCAGAUUUGAUAAAUCUGUUCAAGAUUUAUGAGCUCAAAGAAACCACAAAGUGCAUCUUACUUUAAUUGCUCAGCUGCCUCUUUUAAAAAUCUUUUACUUUUAAGAGAGUAUAGCACAAAUAUCUGAACAACUCUAAAUAUCCAUACUUGGGAUGGAUAUUACUUUGAGCUCUUGCACUAUAAUAAAACUUUAUUCUUUUGUACUAAUUCAGUCCUUUUACUUUUUCUUUUUUAAUGUUUAAGAAACAAGUUGGAUAUGGACAAGAUGUAAUUUCUUCUGUCAAGGAACCCACAGGAUAAUAGGUUAAUGAUAGAGACCAACAAUGCUGAUGCAUUUUUAAUGACGGAGAUAAUGUCUAGAAAAAAAUCCAUUAUUUGGUAAAGACAAAGUAUGCAUAUGUAUUCCUUUGUUUCAAUUAUUUUUAAAGUUAAAAAACAACUGCUUAUCUCCUUUUGUACUACAAGCAAUAUCUGGUAUAGUGUAUGCAUAGUAAGUAUUCUAGAAAUAGUAAUUUCAUUGUUGACUUGAUUAUAUUGGAGUGGAACUUACUCUGGAAGAGAUCCUAACUUUCAUUUAUCUGAGAAAAUUUCCAGUUAGGACAUGGAAAUUUUUUCCUUGUCAAUAUUUAUUCUUAAUGUGUUUAGAAUUUUAGAAAAUGGGUUUAGGGAUUUAGAAAUUUCUUUACUAAAUAACUCUAGGGAACAGUACCUUAAAAAUAUUCAAAAUGACAAAAACUUAAAAUGACAUCUAAUUUUUUAAGGCCAAGAAUCAUUAAAAAGGGAUCCAAAUCUUUAGACUUUGUUGCUCGGUGGAACUAGAAUCAUUAAUAUCUCAGUCAGGGGAAGCCAUGUCAACUUACUGGUUUAAUUUCCUGUGAGCUUCCCAUGUUCUCUCCCUGCAAGGACCACCUCAAAUCCCUCAGUAGUCCUGUCUUUAUGAAACCAGUAUAAUUUUUCUUUUCGCUCUUGUCCUUCACCUUCCUGUGGCAACAAGAGUCAAUUCUCCAUAUAUAAAUACUCGGCCCCUGUUUUAGCUGUGUCUUAAUUGCGCAACAUCUGUUUACUCUGUGUUUUAACAUCUGUGUGGAUAGCAU
Homo sapiens (human) is the source of this 7173-nucleotide long non-coding RNA. Ensembl annotates it as CDKN2B antisense RNA 1. Its record names the gene CDKN2B-AS1. The record is from Ensembl. NCBI's taxonomy places the organism in Eukaryota, Metazoa, Chordata, Mammalia, Primates, Hominidae.